UGGCGGUUGACGGCAACGUU
Molecule: non-coding RNA, 20 nt
Filed under: Arabidopsis thaliana (thale cress)
Lineage: Eukaryota; Viridiplantae; Streptophyta; Magnoliopsida; Brassicales; Brassicaceae
Source: RNAcentral